RNAcentral lists this ribosomal RNA (1344 nucleotides) under metagenome. Its description in RNAcentral is "bacterial SSU rRNA". It matches the Rfam family "Bacterial small subunit ribosomal RNA", at positions 143 to 1498 of the family's 1533-position model. The record is from RNAcentral.
AUAACCCGGCGAAAGUCGGACUAAUACCGCAUGAAGCAGGGGCCCCGCAUGGGGAUAUUUGCUAAAGAUUCAUCGCUGAUAGAUAGGCAUGCGUUCCAUUAGGCAGUUGGCGGGGUAACGGCCCACCAAACCGACGAUGGAUAGGGGUUCUGAGAGGAAGGUCCCCCACAUUGGUACUGAGACACGGACCAAACUCCUACGGGAGGCAGCAGUGAGGAAUAUUGGUCAAUGGGCGUAAGCCUGAACCAGCCAAGUCGCGUGAGGGAUGAAGGUUCUAUGGAUCGUAAACCUCUUUUAUAAGGGAAUAAAGUGCGGGACGUGUCCCGUUUUGUAUGUACCUUAUGAAUAAGGAUCGGCUAACUCCGUGCCAGCAGCCGCGGUAAUACGGAGGAUCCGAGCGUUAUCCGGAUUUAUCGGGUUUAAAGGGUGCGUAGGCGGCCUUUUAAGUCAGCGGUGAAAGUCUGUGGCUCAACCAUAGAAUUGCCGUUGAAACUGGGGGGCUUGAGUAUGUUUGAGGCAGGCGGAAUGCGUGGUGUAGCGGUGAAAUGCUUAGAUAUCACGCAGAACCCCGAUUGCGAAGGCAGCCUGCCAAGCCAUGACUGACGCUGAUGCACGAAAGCGUGGGUAUCAAACAGGAUUAGAUACCCUGGUAGUCCACGCAGUAAACGAUGAUCACUAGCUGUUUGCGAUACAGUGUAAGCGGCACAGCGAAAGCGUUAAGUGAUCCACCUGGGGAGUACGCCGGCAACGGUGAAACUCAAAGGAAUUGACGGGGGCCCGCACAAGCGGAGGAACAUGUGGUUUAAUUCGAUGAUACGCGAGGAACCUUACCCGGGUUUGAACGCAUUCGGACCGAGGUGGAAACACCUUUUCUAGCAAUAGCCGUUUGCGAGGUGCUGCAUGGUUGUCGUCAGCUCGUGCCGUGAGGUGUCGGCUUAAGUGCCAUAACGAGCGCAACCCUUGCCACUAGUUACUAACAGGUGAUGCUGAGGACUCUGGUGGGACUGCCAGCGUAAGCUGCGAGGAGGGCGGGGAUGACGUCAAAUCAGCACGGCCCUUACAUCCGGGGCGACACACGUGUUACAAUGGCGUGGACAAAGGGAAGCCACCUGGCGACAGGGAGCGAAUCCCCAAACCACGUCUCAGUUCGGAUCGGAGUCUGCAACCCGACUCCGUGAAGCUGGAUUCGCUAGUAAUCGCGCAUCAGCCAUGGCGCGGUGAAUACGUUCCCGGGCCUUGUACACACCGCCCGUCAAGCCAUGGGAGCCGGGGGUACCUGAAGUCCGUAACCGAAAGGAUCGGCCUAGGGUAAAACUGGUGACUGGGGCUAAGUCGAACAAGGUA